GCAAGUCGAGCGCUACCUUUGGGUGGAGCGGCGGACGGGUUAGUAACGCGUGGGAAUAUACCCUUUUCUAUGGAAUAGCCUCGGGAAACUGAGAGUAAUACCAUAUACGCCCUUCGGGGGAAAGAUUUAUCGGAAUUGGAUUAGCCCGCGUUAGAUUAGAUAGUUGGUGGGGUAAUGGCCUACCAAGUCUACGAUCUAUAGCUGGUUUUAGAGGAUGAUC
Molecule: ribosomal RNA, 220 nt
Filed under: uncultured bacterium
Lineage: Bacteria
Description: partial 16S ribosomal RNA
Rfam family: Bacterial small subunit ribosomal RNA
Source: RNAcentral